GUGGACAAUAGUCACAACCUAUUUCUUUGGGUGGUGGCUACUUUUUUUUUCCAGCUUGGCUAUACCAUAUGGUUCAUUAAAGGGCAUGUGAAUUUAAUUUCAGCAAAAACUGGGACACAAAAACUGCUUGUAUAGAAACCUUGUUCUUCUUUCGGCUACAAUUUUAAGGAGGUCGCCACAAAUCAUCUGCCUCCAAACAAAUCUGGUAAACACUUAAAUAGCUUAAAUAACGGGGGGGGGGGGGGGGGGGCUCACUAUCCUGUUGAAUAAGAGCACAGUCAUAAGGUAGUCAGUAUUAGCCGACAUGGAAAACGUUGUAUAGAAAUUACCAGUCAAAUUAAAUUAAAAAUUGCUUUUAAAGUUUGGCUGAUUUGCACAAAAAUGAAUUAUUUGACCAACUUUGCUUAGAAUGGCAGGAAACAGAUCUUUUGAUGAUGAUUUAAAAAAACCCCAAAUCAGAUUCAUGGUAGGGUAUUCCUUUGAAAGUACCAAAAUAUUCCAAUUGCUAUUUUUUUUUUUUUUGCUUUUAUUAUUGUAUUAUUGCUUUUAUUGUAAUUUAAGAUACAAUUUCGAGCUUUUCUGAAUAUAUGGACGCUAGAUAAUGGUUUCAUUUAUUUUCUAUUAAUCUGAAUAAUACAGUUUAUUUAUACCUUUUAUCUUUUGAGUUGAAGAGCUUUUUCCCCUAAAAUCGAAAUGAACAUUUCUGAGUAAACUGCUCAAUUGCUGCAUUCAUGGUUUGGGGGAAAGCCUCACUUUUGACCUCUUCUUAUAAUUUAAUGCAGGUUUAAAUUCUUGGUACAACUUGAGAUCCUUAAUUUAAGUACUAGGUACACCUCUAGAUACCCGUUUCCUUCUGACAGUGUAAUGAGUCACGGCUAGUUUCCUGUGUGCGGUGUGUACAGAGGUGGUCUCUCUGGCAGGAUCACAGCUAACACCGACUCUGGGAGCAUGUGGACCACGUGGAGGAGCCCUACAAAUUAAUUAGCAUUAGUGAACUUCACUAUCGGCUUGUUACCAAUCAGACAACAUUUUUAUUUGUUUGUCUGUUUCAUUUAUUCCAUUAAUCGCAAUUUUCUAGACACCUAAGCCGACUUUUUUUUUUUUUUAAACAAAAUGCGUUGGUUAAUCGUCGCUGUCUAGACUUAUCCUAGCUAGCUUAAGAGGUAGCUACAUGUUAGCACAAAAAUGCAAAAAACCAAAACGCCCUUCAUUUCGCAUAAAAUUUUGCCACUUUAUUCAUAGACUACAACUUAAUAAUCCUUCCAUUCCUUAGAAUGAAGGUUUAAUCGGCUUAACCUUAUUAAGAUGGCUAAUUCUGGAGUGAUUUCCGACACUGUGGCUAAUGUAGGUUAGCUUUAAAGUUACACUUACCAAAAUCUUCCUGUAGCAGGAGCAGAGGGUUCAUGGAGGAUUAUGUUUAUUUUACCCACUGGAGUUAAAGCCAGAAAUUAAAGUCGCA
Molecule: long non-coding RNA, 1459 nt
Organism: Astatotilapia calliptera (eastern happy)
Lineage: Eukaryota; Metazoa; Chordata; Actinopteri; Cichliformes; Cichlidae
Source: Ensembl